Molecule: long non-coding RNA, 154 nt
Organism: Etheostoma spectabile (orangethroat darter)
Lineage: Eukaryota; Metazoa; Chordata; Actinopteri; Perciformes; Percidae
Exons: 2
Source: RefSeq, a predicted model, not a curated record
UCUAGAGAUGUUCCGAUACCGAUACCAAUAUCGGAAAAUCUCCCAUACCGCCUGAAAUGCUGGUAUCAGUAUCGGCAAGUACUGGAGUUCAUGCACCGAUCUGAUACCACGUCAUUUAUCCCAAAAGAAAAUCUACUUUAAAGUAGUUUAUUUA